UGUGUGUGUGUGUGUGUGUGUGUUUACUCGCUAAUUCUCUUUCAGUGUGUGAGGGCAUGGGAACAGGGCAAUGGAAUCAAAUAGAGCAUGAGGGCUGACUUCCCGAGAGUGCAUCCACAUGAUUGACAGCUCAGACAUCCCCCAGCAGAAAUAACCCGAAAGGAAAACACAGGUUUACCUUAACCGCUGUUUAUCUGUUCAUGUCAAUUUCAUGUUAAUCCAGCUUCGCCUGGGGCGGCGCGCUGGUCGACUGGUGAGCACGUCCGCCUCACAGUGCAGAGGUGCAGGGUCGGACUGGCAAGAGAAAAUGCUCAAUCCCUUUUGAGGCUCCACUUAGUCCUCGACGCCUUCACGAGCAUCUGGUCCAUAGAACUGAGGCAACAGGCAGGUGCGUUGGGGUGGAAGAGCUCAGACAGUCAACGGUCGUGGAGGAGAGUAAAAUGGGCGUGUGUUACAAGGCUGCAGCGUUCAUCAUGGUCGAUGGGAAGCCAGACAAGAUCCAAACGUAUGAUCUGCCCUCUCCAUCCAGGUCCCAUAAUUCACCAUCGCGCCUGCCGUUUGCUGUCACCGCGCAAGGACCGCUGCCAGUUUGGGAUUGAAAUACGGCUGCUUAGGCGUCCCCGUGGCCCUCUACAAAACAAUGUUAGCCUGGAAAAAUGGCAGGCGUGGGCGCGGGGUUAAUACAGUAAGCCUCCGCUUUUAAUUG
Hippocampus comes (tiger tail seahorse) is the source of this 706-nucleotide long non-coding RNA. RefSeq lists it as uncharacterized. NCBI's taxonomy places the organism in Eukaryota, Metazoa, Chordata, Actinopteri, Syngnathiformes, Syngnathidae. The record is from RefSeq and is a predicted model, not a curated record. The transcript is spliced from 2 exons.